UAGAACUAGAAGGUGUUAGAAUAUUCUCUAAUGCUCUUAUUUAUUAAACUUGACAGCAACUUCUGCCUUUUCUUCCUCCUUCUUAGUUAUAACGCCUCUAUGAUCAUCAUUCCUCUCAUUGCACCAUAAAGCAAAGAACACAAAGAGAGAGAGGUCUUCUCAAACCAUCUUGCAGGUGUGUCUUUCAUUGUAUAUUCUGCUGCUGGGUAAUUGGAAGGCUAACCAGGUGCUGCUUCAUUCCUUAAUUAUUCUUCAAACAUUCCAAGAAGUCCAUAUUCUUCAUUGUUCUCUAGUGUCAUCACCAAAAUCAGGGAAUGCUGAAAGAUGUGCUUGACAGUUAAGAAUUCCUUCACCGAGGCUGAUGAGUCCGUGCCUCCAUCUGAGCUAUCCUUGUUCAACCUUUGCAAAAGUCUACCAUGCUAGGAACAUCAUAACUGGCAUGAGUGUGGCCAUUAAGAUUACUGGCAAGGACAAGAUUCUGAAAGUUGGGAUGAUUGAUCAGAUUAAGCGCGAAAUUUCAGCGAUGAGGCUAACCAGGCAUCCACAUGUGGUUGAGCUUUACGAGGUAAUGGCCAGCAAAACCAAAAUUUACUUUGUUAUGGAGUAUGUAAAAGGUGGUGAGCUCUUCAAUAAGGUAUCCAAAGGAAAGCUCAAGCAGGAUGAUGCUAGGAGAUAAUUUCGGCAAUUGAUCAGCGCUGUUGACUACUGCCAUAGCAGAGGUGUGUGCCAUCGUGAUCUGAAACCAGAAAAUCUUCUACUGGAUGAAAAUGGGAAUAUAAAUGGAUUACUCCACACUACAUGUGGUGCCCCUGCCUAUGCUGCUCCGGAAGUGAUAAACAGAAGGAGUUAUGAUCUUGUAUGUUCUAUUGGCAGGGGAGAGUUCAAAUUUCCUAACUGGAUUGCACCAGAUGUACGCAGAUUGCUGUCGAAACUCUUGGAUCCAAACCCAAAGACAAGGAUAUCAAUGGAUGCAUUAUUUGUGAAAAAAUUGUUUUAGUAUGUGUAAAAAUCUCAUAUCACUUUAAACUUUAAAGUUAAGAUCAAGAGAAAUAUAUAUAUAUAUUUGAUUUCUCA
Glycine soja is the source of this 1074-nucleotide long non-coding RNA. RefSeq lists it as uncharacterized. The record is from RefSeq and is a predicted model, not a curated record. The transcript is spliced from 2 exons. NCBI's taxonomy places the organism in Eukaryota, Viridiplantae, Streptophyta, Magnoliopsida, Fabales, Fabaceae.